This 308-nucleotide ribosomal RNA is filed under the name uncultured bacterium. RNAcentral describes it as "bacterial SSU rRNA". It matches the Rfam family "Bacterial small subunit ribosomal RNA", at positions 29 to 351 of the family's 1533-position model. The record is from RNAcentral.
AAUGAACGUUGGCAGCGUGGAUUAGGCAUGCAAGUCGCGCGACAAGGAUCCUUCGGGGUCCGGAGGAGCGGCAAACGGGGUAGUAAGGCAUCGGAACGUACCCUCUUGUCGGGAAUAGCCACGGGAAACUGUGAGUAAUGCCCGAUAAUCUCGAGAGAGCAAAGGUCCGCCGCAGGAGGAGCGGCCGAUGUGAUAUCAGCUAGUUGGUAGGGUAAUGGCCUACCAAGGCUUAGACGUCUAGGGGGUGUGAGAGCAUGGCCCCCACCACCUGGACGUGAGACACUGCCACGACACCUACCGGGUGGCGU